Long non-coding RNA from Macaca fascicularis (crab-eating macaque), 1928 nucleotides. The record is from Ensembl. NCBI's taxonomy places the organism in Eukaryota, Metazoa, Chordata, Mammalia, Primates, Cercopithecidae.
CCACCACGAAGAGGAUGACUCCAUUCUCCACCAGGCCCAGCAGCGAGGCCAGCCCGUGCAGCAGCACGGUCGCGUGGUCGAUGUAGCGGAUGCUGGUGUUGCUGUGGCUCCGGAGAUGGCUCAUCUCCUCUAGGAUGGGGCAGAGCGGCUUCAGCGUGGCGUUGGCGGACAUCGUGGGGUUCUGCAGUGGAAGGAAGGAGGUGCCUAGGUUGGCAGUGCAGGGGCCACGGGGGAACCAAGAGAGAGGCCUGGGGUGGGACCGUCCCCAGGAGAUGCCAAUGUGACCCAUGAAUAUAUUGGGCGGUGGGGGCGGGGGGAGUAACAUCCCAGCAUUGCUGUGCCUGGGCAAGUCAUUUAACCUUCCUGAGCCUUUUUCUGAAUCUAAAACUUGGAUGUCAGUCAUAACAGCACCUAGCUCAUAGAGUUAUUGGGAGCAUUAAAUGAGUUACUACAUAAAAGCAUUUAGAACAUGGCCUGGCACACAGCAAGCGCUGUAUCAGUGUCAUUGUGAUGACUAUGAAGCAAACGGUCUAGGAUCACACAGAGAAAUAGGAACAAGGUCAGGCCCACAGGACUUCUUUUUCCAAUCCCCAGAGCACUGGCGGGUGAAGGAGUCCCCACAACUAGGGCAAGAGGGUCCUGCUGGCCUGGGGGAUGGAGAUGCUCCCCCUUCCCACCCACAGCACCCCCAGACCUUGCUCCGUGCAGCUCCCCGCACUCAGUGGUGGCUGGUUAGAUGUGUUGACUGUGAACAGUGGAACCAGCCCCUCCUCUGAUAGUUGGAGAGGAAAUAAGAUAAGAGCCAGGAGAGCUGGGUAGGAGGAACUCCCACAUGGGGCUCUGCAGGCCCAAUGGGGCCAAAAGAUCUCUCCCCGCUCAGGAGCAGCCACAGCAGCGCUCUCUGCCCUGUUCAUUCACUUACUCCCCCGCGCACUCAUCCAGAAAUAAGACGUGCAUGCUCACAUCCUCAUUGAAAGCCUGAAGACCAUCUGAUGUGAGGCUGGUCAGGGUCAGUGAGGGCUGAAGAAAUUGCAUGAGGCUCCAUGCAGGAGGCAGGGGGCAAGUAGCCAGGGACAGGGACUCGGGUUGUCCUGGGCACCAGUGACACUCCAGGUACUAUGGUAGGUCCUUCAAUAGGUGCUGUCUUUCUGGCUCUAGAAGAAUGGUGCUAGUACUCCAUCCCAUUUUACAGAUGAGAAAACUGAGCCUCAAGUGGUUAAAUAACUGGCCCAGAGCCACCCAGACAGCACAAACAUGUGGAGGAGCAAGUUUCAUGCUCAGCCUGUGCUCUUUCCUCUGCCCCUGUUCCAAGGAAGAGAGGAUGGAGGAGGAAGAAGGAAAGUGGGAGAGGGGAGCAAUGGUCUUUAGUACUCAUCUUUCUAGGGAAAACACUGUUGGCCAGGAUGAGAAAACCCACUCCCUUCUAGAGACCACAGUCCUCUAUAGGGUGGGGUCCUGGGUUAUCAAACUAGAAUUUUGCUGGCAGAUGAGCCCCUUGGAGCUGGGAAUCUGCAGGUAGAUGGAAAAGGAGCCUGUGCUACCUGAGAAUGGGCACUUCCUAGGCUUUAGAAUAUGCAGAGCAGUUACUCUUGCAAUGGACCUAUGAGACCCCAUUUUUCAGAAGAAACUGAUGAAGGUCAGAAAAGCACAGCAACUUGCCCCGCAUUCCUCAGCAGCAGCGGUGGGGCUGGGACUUCACUCCCAGCAGACAGCCAAGUGCCACCCACUGUCUGCCCUGAAACAUUCCCUGCAGACCAGCUGCUGCUUCUCCAAGUCCCAUGGGGAUGAUCAGAGAGCACAGUCCUGCCAUCCUUGGGAACCGCCAGAUCAGUCCUUCUGACUCAAUAGAGACAGCCCCCGGCCUCCCAAGAUUCUCAGGAGCCCAGCAGCUAAGGUCCAGCUUUGGCAGGUGAAAAAAAAAAAAAAAA